Molecule: long non-coding RNA, 1265 nt
Filed under: Chloebia gouldiae (Gouldian finch)
Lineage: Eukaryota; Metazoa; Chordata; Aves; Passeriformes; Passeridae
Description: Erythrura gouldiae (Gouldian finch) lncRNA (ENSEGOG00005011551.1)
Source: RNAcentral
GGCCAGCGCCUGGGCGGGAAGGGGUUAAACUGGGACAAACUGGGACAGACUGGGACAAACUGGGACCAACUGGGACAAACUGGGACAAACUGGGACAGACUGGGACCGACUGGGGUGGAGAAACUGGGUUAAACUGGGACACAGGGACUGCGCCCGCCUUGGCGUCCUCGGCCAGCGCCUGGGCGGGAAGGGGUUAAACUGGGACCAACUGGGACCAACUGGGACAAACUGGGACAGACUGGGACAAACUGGGACAAACUGGGACCGACUGGGACAGACUGGGACAGACUGGGACAAACUGGGACAAACUGGGACGGACUGGGAGAAACUGGGACAAACUGGGACAAACUGGGACCGACUGGGAUGGAGAAACUGGGUUAAACUGGGACACAGGGACUGCGCCCGCCUUGGCGUCCUCGGCCAGCGCCUGGGCGGGAAGGGGUUAAACUGGGACCAACUGGGACAAACUGGGACAAACUGGGAUGGACUGGGGUGGAGAAACUGGGAGAAACUGGGUUAGACUGGAAGGGAUUGGAAUGGACAGGGAAGGACUGGGUGUGCCCAGGUGUAUCCCAGAUGUAUCCCAGGUGUAUCCCAGGUGUAUCCCGGGUGUAUCCCAGGUGUAUCUCAGGUGUAUCCCAGGUGUAUCCCAGGUCUAUCCCAGGUGUAUCUCAGGUGUAUCCCAGGUGUAUCCCAGGUGUAUCCCAGGUGUAUCCCAGGUGUAUCCCAGGUGUAUCCCAGGUGUAUCCCAGAUGUAUCCCGGGUGUAUCUCAGGUGUAUCCCAGCUGUACCUGGGUGUACCCAGGUGUAUCCCAGGUGUAUCUCAGGUGUAUCCCAGCUGUGCCCAGGUGUGCCCAGCUGUAUCCCAGAUGUAUCCCAGGUGUAUCUCAGGUGUAUCCCGGGUGUAUCCCGGGUGUAUCCCAGGUGUAUCCCGGGUGUAUCCCGGGUGUAUCCCAGGUGUAUCCCGGGUGUAUCUCAGGUCUAUCCCAGGUGUAUCCCGGGUGUAUCUCAGGUGUAUCCCAGGUGUAUCCCAGGUGUAUCCCAGCUGUGCCCAGCUGUGCCCAGCUGUGCCCAGAUGUGUACCUUGCGCAGCAGCUGGCGCGUGCCGUCGCAGAGCGGCGCGUGCGAGAAGAGGCAGCCGUCGCCGCUGGCGCAGAGCCCGGUGGUGUGGAAGAGCUUGCACGGGAAAUCCCGUGGGAACGUCAAGGAGCGCAACGGGAUGGGGAAAAGGGGGUUAGACCCGGGUUAGACCGGGGUUAGACCGG